This 495-nucleotide long non-coding RNA is filed under the name Ananas comosus (pineapple). Its description in RNAcentral is "long non-coding RNA (ACOM_LNC026158)". The record is from RNAcentral. Lineage: Eukaryota; Viridiplantae; Streptophyta; Magnoliopsida; Poales; Bromeliaceae.
AGUUCUCUAAUUCACCUAGAGUUUAUCGACCCAAGUUCAACAUGCAAAUGUCAAUUAACAUAAUCCUCUAUACGUCAACAUAUAUAGUUCAUCUAUCAUAUGCAAUAUGUCAUCAUGUAUAUAUUUUCAUUUAACAUAAUCCACAAUAUGUUAAUUCACAAUAUGUCAUCAUGCACAUAUACCAACUAGCAUCUCAUGAUAUGUCAACACACAUAUAUACAUCAUCUAGCAUAAUCCAAACUAUGCCAACAUGCCUUUCUAUAGUAUCACUUUCAUGCAUUCAUAUAACCUCUAUGACAUGCAUUCAUAUAACAUUUCAUGCAUUCUUAUAGUAUCAUUUUCAUGCAUUCAUAUAACCUCUAUGACAUGCAUUCAUAUAGCAUUUCAUGCAUUCUUAUAGUAUCAUUUUCAUGCAUUCACUUAGCAUAUUUCUUAUGCAUUUACCAUUCUUCAACUUGCUACCAUUAUAUGCAUCAACAAUAAACAACGCUCCAG